This 53-nucleotide microRNA precursor is filed under the name Loxodonta africana (African savanna elephant). Its description in RNAcentral is "mir-1302 microRNA precursor family". It matches the Rfam family "mir-1302 microRNA precursor family". The record is from Rfam by way of RNAcentral. Lineage: Eukaryota; Metazoa; Chordata; Mammalia; Proboscidea; Elephantidae.
UUUUUAGUAUAAGUAUGCCCCCAUGUAAUUUUGGGGACAUACUUAUACUAAAA